Molecule: ribosomal RNA, 493 nt
Filed under: uncultured bacterium
Lineage: Bacteria
Description: partial 16S ribosomal RNA
Rfam family: Bacterial small subunit ribosomal RNA
Source: RNAcentral
AGUGAACGCUGGCGGUAGGCCUAACACAUGCAAGUCGAACGGCAGCACAGUAAGAGCUUGCUCUUACGGGUGGCGAGUGGCGGACGGGUGGGGAAUACAUCGGAAUCUACUUUUUCGUGGGGGAUAACGUAGGGAAACUUACGCUAAUACCGCAUACGACCUACGGGUGAAAGCAGGGGAUCUUCGGACCUUGCGCGAUUGAAUGAGCCGAUGUCGGAUUAGCUAGUUGGCGGGGUAAAGGCCCGCCAAGGCGACGAUCCGUAGCUGGUCUGAGAGGAUGAUCAGCCACACUGGAACUGAGACACGGUCCAGACUCCUACGGGAGGCAGCAGUGGGGAAUAUUGGACAAUGGGCGCAAGCCUGAUCCAGCCAUACCGCGUGGGUGAAGAAGGCCUUCGGGUUGUAAAGCCCUUUUUGUUGGGAAAGAAAAGCAGCAGGUUAAUACCCCGCUGUUCUGACGGUACCCAAAGAAUAAGCACCGGCUAACUUCGUG